RNAcentral lists this long non-coding RNA (337 nucleotides) under Homo sapiens (human). Its description in RNAcentral is "HSALNT0292750". Lineage: Eukaryota; Metazoa; Chordata; Mammalia; Primates; Hominidae. The record is from RNAcentral.
GUUUAGGACACACUACCCCAAAAUAUGCCACCUCAGCAUGUUAAGAAACAGCAGAAGCAGAGAGAUCCUUCUGACCUUCCACCCUUCUCGCCCUUCUUCCCUGAAGCCAGAAAGGAUUUUCUGACCUUCCCCCAACACAGGUCAUAACACCCUCUUGUGACAAGUGCCCUCCCUAUACCACUGGAGGAAAGAGAUCCUGAUAUCUGAAUACGAAGGGUCACAGAGAAGAAUCUGAACAAUCGGGCCUUGCUAAGUUUCCCUCACUUUAUUACCAUUAGGUCAUACCCUCUUUGUCCUAUAUGUUUCUCCACAACUGUCCAUUCCUCAUCAAAUCUGG